ACUCCUACGGGAGGCAGCAGCAGGGAAUCUUCCGCAAUGGACGAAAGUCUGACGGAGCAACGCCGCGUGAGCGAAGAAGGCCUUCGGGUCGUAAAGCUCUGUUGUUAGGGAAGAACAAGUAACGCAGUAACUGGCGUUUCCGUAACGGUACCUAACGAGAAAGCCACGGCUAAAUACGUGCCAGCAGCCGCGGUAAU
RNAcentral lists this ribosomal RNA (197 nucleotides) under uncultured Anoxybacillus sp. RNAcentral describes it as "partial 16S ribosomal RNA". It matches the Rfam family "Bacterial small subunit ribosomal RNA", at positions 335 to 524 of the family's 1533-position model. The record is from RNAcentral. Lineage: Bacteria; Bacillati; Bacillota; Bacilli; Caryophanales; Anoxybacillaceae.